Molecule: ribosomal RNA, 122 nt
Organism: Colobus angolensis palliatus
Lineage: Eukaryota; Metazoa; Chordata; Mammalia; Primates; Cercopithecidae
Source: Ensembl
GUAUACAGCCAUACUACCCUGAAUGUGCUUGAUCUCCUCUGACUUUGGAAGCUGACCAUAGUUGGGGCUGGUUAGUACUUGGAUGGGAGACAACAUUAUGAAAAUGUAGCCUACAUUUUACA